GAGGAGGUAUCUUUUCAUAUCUCUUUUUUUGAGCCACAUUUGUUUCUGUAAUUGUGUACCCAUAUUUUUUCUGGUUUUGCUCUUUCCCUUUAUAUUGUUGUAGUAAUUGUCUAUGCCAUUUUAAUGGCUCUGAUUACUUUCCUAUACAGCAGUUAAUGUAAGUCAUUCCAUGCUGCCAUAAAAUGCCUGACUAUAAGUAUUUUGUUGUACAUAUGCCUUUUCUUUCUUUUUAUUAGUGGCCUUUUUGAGUGAUAAGCCUAAAAUGGAAUUCCUUGUGUUGAAGGCAGGGACAUUUUAAUAUCACUUAAUUUGUAUAAUUUCAAGUUGCUUUUCAGUUGCUGCUGCUGCUCCCUCAGGGGCUGCUGCUGCUGCUGCUACCACUGCGGCUAUAACUGCCACAGCUCUGAACUCCACCUCCCUGUGGCUGAUAUUUUCAAGGGUGUGUCUCUAGUGUAGCCCGCCAUUUUGCCCUGAGGCUAUCUUCCUCAGCUGCUGGGCCACUGCUGCUGCUUUAAGGGAGCCAGCUCCCUGCUCUUCUUCGAGGGUCACUGCCCAGGGUUGGCGCAGCCCUCGAGGGUGAUUUUGUGGUGCUUUCAGCCAGCCCCCAAGAAUUUGGAGAUUUCCCUAGCCCUGGUUCUCACUGCCGUGAUGAGGAAAUUGAGGCUGCUCCAAGGUCAAGCAGCAAUCCCACAGGGCAAGGACUGGGUCAACAUUCUGAGAGGACUGAGGAGAGAGGCAGUUGGGACUAACUGUUGCGUCUCUGGAAGAAGACAAGGUGGUGGAGGUGGCUCUCUCUGAAGGAAAAGACUUUGAAACUGCAAGGAAGUUGGACCAUCUUGAAGGAGUGCUUGAGUGAGUGAUUACUUCACAUUGGUGUACAGUGUGGGUUAAUCAUCAUUUCUAUCUUGAUCUUGUGUGGACCUGCAGAGCUGUCUUUGGGAUUUCUGCUUUAUGAAAGGAAAUACUCCUAUGUUGUGAGAUUUCUUUGGUCCCUUUGUAAAGUUUAGGAUUUUAAUAUCUGGUGUGGGUUAGAAGUAAGUUAGUCCUGAUUUCCUUUCUCCCUCUAGUUAAAUAAGCCAUCUCUCUCUCUCUCUCUCUCUCUCUCUCUCUCUCUCUCUCUCUCUCUCUCUCUCUCUCUCUCUCUCUCUCUCUCUCUCUCUCUCUCUCUUUUUCUUUCUUUCUUUUAACCCACCCUAUAACGAUAUCUAAGAUCAGAUUUGAACUCAGAUCUUCCUGAUUCCAGACUCAGUGCUCUGAUAACCAUUCCAUUUAGCUCCCUAACUAAAAAUAUA
Molecule: long non-coding RNA, 1292 nt
Filed under: Monodelphis domestica (gray short-tailed opossum)
Lineage: Eukaryota; Metazoa; Chordata; Mammalia; Didelphimorphia; Didelphidae
Description: lncRNA (ENSMODG00000032482.2)
Source: RNAcentral